RNAcentral lists this ribosomal RNA (494 nucleotides) under uncultured bacterium. RNAcentral describes it as "partial 16S ribosomal RNA". It matches the Rfam family "Bacterial small subunit ribosomal RNA", at positions 28 to 507 of the family's 1533-position model. The record is from RNAcentral.
GACGAACGCUGGCGGCGUGCUUAACACAUGCAAGUCGAACGGAAAGGCCUGCUUUCCCUUGUGGAUUGCGGGUACUCGAGUGGCGAACGGGUGAGUAACACGUGAGUGAUCUGCCCCCAACUUGGGUAUAAGCCUGGGAAACUGGGUCUAAUUCCCGAUAGGACUGCAGGGUGGUGCCUGUGGUGGAAAACGAUUUUCUAGUGGUUGGGGAUGAGCUCGCGGCCUAUCAGCUUGUUGGUGGGGUAAUGGCCUACCAAGGCGGCGACGGGUAGCCGGCCUGAGAGGGUGAACGGCCACAUUGGGACUGAGAUACGGCCCAGACUCCUACGGGAGGCAGCAGUGGGGAAUAUUGCACAAUGGGCGGAAGCCUGAUGCAGCGACGCCGCGUGGGGGAUGACGGCCUUCGGGUUGUAAACUCCUUUCGACCGCGAGGAAGCCACCUGGUUGGAAGGGUGGUGACGGUAGUGGUAGAAGAAGCACCGGCUAACUACGUG